UACGUAGGGCGCGAGCGUUAUCCGGAAUUAUUGGGCGUAAAGAGCUCGUAGGCGGUCUGUCGCGUCGGAUGUGAAAGCCCGGGGCUUAACCCCGGGUCUGCAUUCGAUACGGGCAGACUAGAGUGUGGUAGGGGAGAUCGGAAUUCCUGGUGUAGCGGUGAAAUGCGCAGAUAUCAGGAGGAACACCGGUGGCGAAGGCGGAUCUCUGGGCCAUUACUGACGCUGAGGAGCGAAAGCGUGGGGAGCGAACAGG
Molecule: ribosomal RNA, 253 nt
Filed under: uncultured bacterium
Lineage: Bacteria
Description: partial 16S ribosomal RNA
Rfam family: Bacterial small subunit ribosomal RNA
Source: RNAcentral